GACGAACGCUGACGGCGUGCCUAAUACAUGCAAGUCGGGCGAAGUUUUUCUGGUGCUUGCACUAGAAAAACUUAGCGGCGAACGGGUGAGUAACACGUAAAGAACCUGCCUCAUAGACUGGGACAACUAUUGGAAACGAUAGCUAAUACCGGAUAACAGCAUUAACUGCAUGGUUGAUGUUUAAAAGUUGGUUUUGCUAACACUAUGAGAUGGCUUUGCGGUGCAUUAGCUAGUUGGUGGGGUAAAGGCCUACCAAGGCGACGAUGCAUAGCCGACCUGAGAGGGUGAUCGGCCACACUGGGACUGAGACACGGCCCAGACUCCUACGGGAGGCAGCAGUAGGGAAUCUUCCGCAAUGGGCGAAAGCCUGACGGAGCAACGCCGCGUGAGUGAAGAAGGAUUUCGGUUCGUAAAGCUCUGUUGUUAGGGAAGAAUGAUUGUGUAGUAACUAUACACAGUAGAGACGGUACCUAACCAGAAAGCCACGGCUAACUACGUGCCAGCAGCCGCGGUAAUACGUAGGUGGCAAGCGUUGUCCGGAAUUAUUGGGCGUAAAGCCGCGCAGGUGGUUUAAUAAGUCUGAUGUGAAAGCCCACGGCUCAACCGUGGAGGGUCAUUGGAAACUGUUAAACUUGAGUGCAGGAGAGAAAAGUGGAAUUCCUAGUGUAGCGGUGAAAUGCGUAGAGAUUAGGAGGAACACCAGUGGCGAAGGCGGCUUUUUGGCCUGUAACUGACACUGAGGCGCGAAAGCGUGGGGAGCAAACAGG
Molecule: ribosomal RNA, 767 nt
Filed under: uncultured bacterium
Lineage: Bacteria
Description: bacterial SSU rRNA
Rfam family: Bacterial small subunit ribosomal RNA
Source: RNAcentral